Molecule: ribosomal RNA, 253 nt
Filed under: uncultured bacterium
Lineage: Bacteria
Description: partial 16S ribosomal RNA
Rfam family: Bacterial small subunit ribosomal RNA
Source: RNAcentral
UACGUAGGGUGCGAGCGUUGUCCGGAAUUAUUGGGCGUAAAGGGCUCGUAGGCGGUUUGUCGCGUCGGGAGUGAAAACCAUGGGCUUAACUCAUGGCUUGCUUCCGAUACGGGCAGACUAGAGGUAUGCAGGGGAGAACGGAAUUCCUGGUGUAGCGGUGAAAUGCGCAGAUAUCAGGAGGAACACCGGUGGCGAAGGCGGUUCUCUGGGCAUUACCUGGCGCUGAGGAGCGAAAGUGUGGGGAGCGAACAGG